UCACGUGCGCGCAUUCUUGGCUCCCGUUUAGUGACCACCGUCUUUCUUUCUCUUUUUCCAACUCUUACACUGUCCCAUACCAGAGCUAUCUAUUCAUCUGGACUCAACAGUUUGGUGGAUGGCUUCUUCUUCUUCUUAUUCUUUUUCUCUGCUUCGUUCCAUUCCCAUUUCCUUUCCGCACACCCAAUGCGCUCUCAAAUCCCAGCGCCUCUCGCUUCGUGCUUCGGCCACUCCGAGCCAGAAGGCUCGGUUCGUCGCUCGCCGCAAGGAGUCCCUUUCGGUUCGGCAACUGCAACGCCCCCUAAUUGAGUACAUGCGGUUACCGGCGAGUCAGUAUUCGGUGUUGGACGCGGAGAGGAUUGAGCGGGUAAACGAAAACACGUUUAGGUGUUAUGUUUAUAGGUUCAAGUUCUUCAACCUUGAGGUUUGUCCUGUGUUGUUGGUGAAAGUGGAAGAGCAACCUGAUGGAUGUUGCAUCAAGCUCUUGUCUUGCAAGCUCGAGGGCUCGGCAAUGGUUGCUGCACAGAAUGACAAGUUUGAUGCUCUAAUGGUCAACCGGAUAUCAUGUGAUAGCAACGCUAACAAGUCAUUGAUGCAGCAACUCACAUCAGACACUAUAAUUGAGGUAAGCAUUGAAAUACCUUUUCCUUUCCAAGCAAUACCAAAGCAAGCAAUUGAAUCAGCUGGGACUCAAGUCCUUGAACAAAUACUCAGGAUUAUGCUUCCCCGUUUUGUGUCACAGUCAUAAAUGCCUAAGUGAAGAUUCACACAGACUUUCUCCACAUCAAGAUAUGAAACUUGAAAGAAAGAAAUGUUUUAAAAGGUUCUUUGUUGAUGCGGAUGUAAGGAGAUAAGAGAAUAUCGAGUUUGUAAAUUUUUUCAAUGGAAGAGAAGACUUUGAUGAUGUUGACUCUUUAAAGGAUAGAGGUCAAAUGCAUGAAAAAUCUUGGUGACUAGUUCAUGCUGCUGAUACACCAAUACUUCAAAAGGUUGCCCUUAAGCUACUUGAGCAAUCUUAGUCUCCUUUCAAGAAAUUCUCUACAAUACCAUCGAGAGGAAACUAAAAUCUUGAGAAAGAUUAUCGAGCUUGGGCCUCUGGAGAUACCUCAAGGCAACCUCUUGAGACAGGUGAAAUCUGAAAUAAUACCUCAUAGAAAUUGCCACUGCGCUGGCCUUAAAUUGUUGUGUAGUUAAUAGGUUCUAGAAAUAUCGCUUGUAGUAUGUGCAUUAAUGAAUUUUUGGUUUGUUAACUGAAUAUACAUUAUUAUUAGGCAAAAUUGUAAAAUUGGUCUCCCACUUUAUCUCCAAUUACGGAUUUGGUCCCCCUAUAAUUUAAUUCACAAAUUUGGUUUCCCAGUUUUAUAAAUCCCUGCAAAAUUGGUCCUGGAAGUCCAAUUUGGAUGUUGACUGCCACAUGUCAAUGUCAUGUGUGACUGUCACGUGUCAAUGUCACGUGUCAACGUUUGAGUUGUUUCCUGUAAAUGCUUCAUUUUUUGUAGGUAAAAUUGUACUUUUGGUUCUCCAGUUUUAUUCUAAUUUCGAUUUUGGUCUUGCUAUAGUUUAAUUCACACAUUUAGUCCCUUAGUUUUAUAAAUCCCUUUAUAAAUUGUUCCUGCAAAAUUGGUCUUUUGAAUGGUUUAGCCACUGGUGCUAGAGACAUGGUAAGUCUUGAUAAAUCUCGCACUUCUUUUUCAUCACAAGUUUUUCACUCACUUGGAACUCAGAGAAAAAUCACUCUUUGUCUCUCUCCCACUUCCAGGGUUGUUCAACUUGGGAAAGUGGCGCAUGAAUCCCAACCUGGGUCUGAAAUUUUCAGAUCUCUUACUUUAACAGGUUCUGUAAUAACCUCCUAUUUUUUUUUUCUUUUUUUGCUCCCCCAUGCGGUAUUAUGUGUAUACGAUUGCUUAAGUGACCUAUGUAUGACAAUGGUAUUUUUGUUUGAAAUUUGAAAUACAACUUCUCCAGUAAUGAAAUUUGGCUGAAUUUAUAAAGGAAUUUAUAAAACUGAGGGACCAAAUGUGCGAAUUAAAUUAUAAGGGGACCAAAAUCAAAAUUGGAGUAAAAUUAGGGGACCAAAAAUACAAUUUUACCUACAAAAAAUGAAGCCUUUGCAGGGAAUUACUCAGACGUUGACACGUGGCAUUGACACGUGACAUUGACAUGUGACAGUCACACAUGGUAGUCAACGUCUGAGAUUAACGGUCAAUAUCCAAAUCUGGCUUCCAGGACCAAUUUUACAGGGAUUUAUAAAAUUGGGGGACCAAAUUUGUGAAUUAAAUUAUAGGGAGAUCAAAUACGAAAUUGGAGAUAAAUUGGGGGACCAAAAGUGCAAUUUUGCCUUAUUAUUAUUAUUAUUUUGUGGAAAUUUUAAGGAAAUUAAUGUUACGAUAUUCCUGUGAUGUGGCUAUGUAUAGGUAAUGUAAUCUCAAUGUUAGAAUUAAAAGGAAUUUGAAUUAUUGAAGAAUUUUGUAUUUGAGUACUUAAA
Glycine soja is the source of this 2485-nucleotide RNA transcript. RefSeq lists it as uncharacterized. The record is from RefSeq and is a predicted model, not a curated record. The transcript is spliced from 7 exons. Lineage: Eukaryota; Viridiplantae; Streptophyta; Magnoliopsida; Fabales; Fabaceae.